UGGGCUAUAGCUCAGUGGUAGAGCACUUGCCUCCCAUGGAUGAGGCACUGGGUUCAAUCCUCAGCAACACAU
Molecule: transfer RNA, 72 nt
Filed under: Ictidomys tridecemlineatus (thirteen-lined ground squirrel)
Lineage: Eukaryota; Metazoa; Chordata; Mammalia; Rodentia; Sciuridae
Description: Spermophilus tridecemlineatus (thirteen-lined ground squirrel) tRNA
Rfam family: tRNA
About the family: Transfer RNA (tRNA) molecules are approximately 80 nucleotides in length.
Source: Rfam by way of RNAcentral